UCGUCAGGUGGGAUAAUCCUUACCUGUAACUCCUUUUGGAGGGCAGAUAAGAAAAUGAUGAUUGGAGUUUGCAUAAUGCGUGAUUAGUGUCUUUGCGUAAUCAGGUUUUGCAACACCCUGAUUGCUAAAAAAAAAA
RNAcentral lists this small nucleolar RNA (136 nucleotides) under Carlito syrichta (Philippine tarsier). RNAcentral describes it as "U8 small nucleolar RNA (ENSTSYG00000019605.2)". It matches the Rfam family "U8 small nucleolar RNA". From Rfam's summary of the family: U8 is a member of the C/D class of snoRNA which contain the C (UGAUGA) and D (CUGA) box motifs. The record is from Rfam by way of RNAcentral. Lineage: Eukaryota; Metazoa; Chordata; Mammalia; Primates; Tarsiidae.